AUGGUGGCUCAGGCGGGGCAGCCUUUGUGCUGGCCGGUUUCCAAGGUUGCCGGUUUCUCACCCCCGUCUGGGCUACCACCCUUGCGUGAGAACUUCGGUGGUAGCGGUAAUUCGCUAACCUUGGAGGCUGCCGUUAUGGCUACGACCCUCACCCCGACUCACCCUACAUUCUGCUAUUUGUUUGCGGCCGUGCGCCGGUCUGCGCUGACGGCUUCACCGCGUAUGGUGCGCACCGUGGCGGAUUCUGAGCACAACGCCCGCCGCCUGCUGGCCCGUGAUUACGUGUUGUCCUUUGCCGGUCGUCUGCCGGUUAAGGCGGUGGCAUGA
RNAcentral lists this unclassified non-coding RNA (327 nucleotides) under Serratia sp. JKS000199. Lineage: Bacteria; Pseudomonadati; Pseudomonadota; Gammaproteobacteria; Enterobacterales; Yersiniaceae. The record is from RNAcentral.